RNAcentral lists this long non-coding RNA (449 nucleotides) under Bos taurus (domestic cattle). RNAcentral describes it as "long non-coding RNA NONBTAT011499". The record is from RNAcentral. Lineage: Eukaryota; Metazoa; Chordata; Mammalia; Artiodactyla; Bovidae.
GGACACAUCUCUCCACAUAGGGACCUAAGUUCCUGAAGGAUGAGGAUGGUCAUUCCUUUACUUGACUCUCCAGAGCAGCCGCUCCACUUACCAGCAUACAGUUUCUUUCUGGACAGUCUCAACUGUGCUGAUCACGUCACCUUCAUGUGUAGUCUGGGAUCUUCUUUACAUACCAAGAUAGACUCUCUUAAUACUUAGGACUGCUGUGUUAAGUGAAAGAGAAAAACAGCUCCAUGGACUAUUUUAACAAUAAACAUAAAAUAUGUUGCUUUUUGAAAAGUUAGAAAUUUCUCUUUAAGUGGUAUGAAUAUUAUAAAUUGUAAAAUGUUUUUACAUUGGACGUUAAUAUAUACUGAUUAAUAAGUAGUAUUCUUAGGAUACAUUUUUUUCCUUGGGAAUAUGCAAUUAAAAAAAUUGCAUAUUAGAAUCCACUGAAUCCCAACUGAGCU